UUGGUUAAGUCCCGCAACGAGCGCAACCCUUAUUGCUAGUUACCAUCAUUCAGUUGGGGACGUCUAGCGAGACUGCCAGUGAUAAACUGGAGGAAGGUGGGGGAUGACGUCAAAUCAUCAUGCCCCUUAUGACCUGGGCUACAAACGUGAUACAAUGGCUGAAACAAAGGGCAGCGAAGCAGUGAUGUGGAGCGAAACCCAAAAAAGCAGUCUCAGUUCGGAUUGAAGUCUGCAACUCGACUUCAUGAAGUCGGAAUCGCUAGUAAUCGCGGAUCAGAACGCCGCGGUGAAUACGUUCUCGGGGUUU
This 307-nucleotide ribosomal RNA is filed under the name uncultured Acholeplasma sp. RNAcentral describes it as "bacterial SSU rRNA". It matches the Rfam family "Bacterial small subunit ribosomal RNA", at positions 1076 to 1382 of the family's 1533-position model. Lineage: Bacteria; Bacillati; Mycoplasmatota; Mollicutes; Acholeplasmatales; Acholeplasmataceae. The record is from RNAcentral.